Molecule: ribosomal RNA, 477 nt
Filed under: Veillonella atypica
Lineage: Bacteria; Bacillati; Bacillota; Negativicutes; Veillonellales; Veillonellaceae
Description: bacterial SSU rRNA
Rfam family: Bacterial small subunit ribosomal RNA
Source: RNAcentral
GACGAACGCUGGCGGCGUGCUUAACACAUGCAAGUCGAACGAAGAGCGAUGGAAGCUUGCUUCUAUUAAUCUUAGUGGCGAACGGGUGAGUAACGCGUAAUCAACCUGCCCUUCAGAGGGGGACAACAGUUGGAAACGACUGCUAAUACCGCAUACGAUCUAAUCUCGGCAUCGAGACUGGAUGAAAGGUGGCCUCUAUUUAUAAGCUAUCACUGAAGGAGGGGAUUGCGUCUGAUUAGCUAGUUGGAGGGGUAACGGCCCACCAAGGCGAUGAUCAGUAGCCGGUCUGAGAGGAUGAACGGCCACAUUGGGACUGAGACACGGCCCAGACUCCUACGGGAGGCAGCAGUGGGGAAUCUUCCGCAAUGGACGAAAGUCUGACGGAGCAACGCCGCGUGAGUGAUGACGGCCUUCGGGUUGUAAAGCUCUGUUAAUCGGGACGAAUAGUUCUUGUGCGAAUAGUGCGAGGAUUUGACG